GACCACCUCUGCGUUAAUACCUUGAUAUCGAAAAGGGCACCACAUGUGUUAGGCUGCUCAUAAUGGAAGUAACCUAGGUAAUAACAUAAGAUGCCAAUUAGGCAUUUUGGUGACAUGGCAAGGUAUUAAAUUAAAAAAAAAAGAAAUGGUAACUAAAUAUGUUACCAUAACAUCACACAAAUCAAAGCAAGAUGAGUCUACAACCUAAUAAAUGACAUAAUGCAUGGCACCACAUAUAUGUUACUACCUACUAUGAAGGUGGUAAUUUAGACUAAUAACAUAUACAUGUUACUAUUCUAUGUUACUUUCCACUAUGACCAGCCUUAUGGGCACUGAAUCGGCUUCUGCUGUUGUAAAAAAAAACUAGAGACUUGCGGU
RNAcentral lists this long non-coding RNA (378 nucleotides) under Brachypodium distachyon (stiff brome). RNAcentral describes it as "long non-coding RNA (BDIS_LNC000490)". Lineage: Eukaryota; Viridiplantae; Streptophyta; Magnoliopsida; Poales; Poaceae. The record is from RNAcentral.